This 273-nucleotide ribosomal RNA is filed under the name uncultured bacterium. Its description in RNAcentral is "partial 16S ribosomal RNA". The record is from RNAcentral.
CUGCUGCCUCCCGUAGGAGUUUGGACCGUGUCUCAGUUCCAAUGUGGGGGACCUUCCUCUCAGAACCCCUACGCAUCGUCGGCUUGGUGGGCCGUUGCCCCACCAACUACCUAAUGCGCCGCAUGCCCAUCCGUGACCGGGGUCGCCCCCUUUGGCCGGCAGGGGAUGUCCCCCUCCCGGCAUUAUGUUGUAUUAGGCGGGAUUUCUCCCGGUUAUCCAUCUGUCACGGCCAGGUUGCAUACGUGUUACUCACCCGUGCGCCGGUCGCCGGCG